RNAcentral lists this ribosomal RNA (465 nucleotides) under uncultured bacterium. RNAcentral's name for it is "partial 16S ribosomal RNA". It matches the Rfam family "Bacterial small subunit ribosomal RNA", at positions 28 to 507 of the family's 1533-position model. The record is from RNAcentral.
GACGAACGCUGGCGGCGUGCUUAACGCAUGCAAGUCGAACGGAAAGGCCCUGCUUGCAGGGUACUCGAGUGGCGAACGGGUGAGUAACACGUCGGUGAUCUGCCCUGCACUUCGGGAUAAGCCUGGGAAACUGGGUCUAAUACCGGAUAGGAGCCAUUUUUAGUGUGAUGGUUGGAAAGUUUUUUCGGUGUAGGAUGAGCUCGCGGCCUAUCAGCUUGUUGGUGGGGUAAUGGCCUACCAAGGCGGCGACGGGUAGCCGGCCUGAGAGGGUGGACGGCCACAUUGGGACUGAGAUACGGCCCAGACUCCUACGGGAGGCAGCAGUGGGGAAUAUUGCACAAUGGGCGCAAGCCUGAUGCAGCGACGCCGCGUGGGGGAUGACGGCCUUCGGGUUGUAAACUCCUUUCGCUAGGGACGAAGCUUUUUGUGACGGUACCUAGAUAAGAAGCACCGGCUAACUACGUG